AUACGGAGGCCCCAAGCGUUACCCGGAAUCACUGGGCGUAAAGGGUGUGUAGGUGGCGUAGUUAGUCUUGCGUUAAAGACCCCGGCUCAACCGGGGAGAUGCGCAGGAAACGGCUAUGCUAGAGGGCGAGAGAGGUGUACGGAACUCAUGGUGUAGGGGUGGAAUCCGUUGAUAUCAUGGGGAACACCAAUAGCGAAGGCAGUACACUGGCUCGUUCCUGACGCUGAGACACGAAAGCGUGGGUAGCGAACGGGAUUAGAUACCCCAGUAGUCC
Molecule: ribosomal RNA, 274 nt
Filed under: uncultured bacterium
Lineage: Bacteria
Description: partial 16S ribosomal RNA
Rfam family: Bacterial small subunit ribosomal RNA
Source: RNAcentral